UACGACUACAUAUCAGGCAUAUCAAUAAGCGGAGGAAAAGCAAUUCUCUAUACCGAUGAUUCAAAAGAGGAAGUAAAUUUACCGCCCACAAAUGUAACUCUUGAGGAACUUGUUGAUUUUGUGUGUUGCAUAAGAAACGGCGAAAACAGUAAAAUCAAUCCUCCGGAAGCGUCGGCACUUUCCGUUAAAAUUGCGCUUCUUGAAAAAGAAAAGGCGAAAUUAAUAUAAAAAGUCAUUGAAGCAAAUUUAUCAUGAUGAUAUAAUUUUCGAAAAAACAAAGGAGUUUGAUUAUGAAAAUUUUAGCAAUAGGUGCUCAUCAGGAUGAUAAUGAGUUCAGAUUCGGAGGCACAGCCUUAAAAUAUGUGAGAAUGGGACACGAGGUUCAGUUUCUCAGUAUGUGCAACGGCUGCGGCGGUCAUCAUAUUAUGACUCCGAAAGAAACCAGCGCGCGCCGUGCAAGGGAAUCGGCGGCUGUGGCAGAGUAUCUGGGAGUAAAAUAUGACAUAUGGGAUAUAGAUGACUGCACCAUUACGGCAGACAUGCCCACCCGUGAAAGACUUAUCCGCUAUAUCCGCACAUUCAAUCCGGAUGUAAUCAUAACUCACCGUACCAACGACUACCACGCAGACCACAGAGCUGUGGCUCUUUUGGUGCAGGAUGCAUCAUAUAUUCUCACUGUGCCCCACACCUGCCCCGAUGUGCCGGCUAUGAGGAAAAUGCCGGUUAUAAUAUAUUAUGAAGACAAAUUCAGCUAUCCCGAGUUCAAGGCAGAUUAUGUGUUUUCAAUAGAUGAUGUAAUAGAAGAAAAGCUCUGGUCAUGUCAUCUCAACGAAUCACAGGUGUAUGAGUGGCUUCCCUAUACCUACGCUUAGGAUGUUGAGUAGCGACAUACGCAC
RNAcentral lists this ribosomal RNA (896 nucleotides) under uncultured Neocallimastigales. RNAcentral's name for it is "partial large subunit ribosomal RNA". The record is from RNAcentral. Lineage: Eukaryota; Fungi; Neocallimastigomycota; Neocallimastigomycetes; Neocallimastigales.